UACUAGAAUAUUAAAAGUUAUGGCCUUUAAAUUUAAAAAAUUUGGCGGUGUUUUAGUCUAGUUAGAGGAACCUGUUUUAUAAACGAUACAACACGCAUUAUUUUACUUAUUUUAGUGGGGCAGCUUGUAUACCGUCAUUAUAAGAUAAUUUAAGAGAAAAUAUUAUUGAAAUCAUAUUUGUGAGUAUAUUAGAUCAAGGUGCAGCUUAUGGAUAAGUAAAUAUGGGUUACAAUAAAAUUAAUUUAAUAUGAAUUAAGUAUUUAAAUAUAUUUAUGAAGGAGGAUUUAAUUGUAAGGGAAGGAGUAGUGAGAUUUUCUGAUAAAAGCUCUAAAUUAUGUACAUAUCGCCCGUCGCUC
Molecule: ribosomal RNA, 356 nt
Filed under: Cambarellus sp. Pop30_1
Lineage: Eukaryota; Metazoa; Arthropoda; Malacostraca; Decapoda; Cambaridae
Also listed under: 1 other name
Description: partial 12S ribosomal RNA
Source: RNAcentral